GGACCCGUAGCCUAGCCUGGAAGAUUAUGGGUAAAUAGGGCGACAGCCUUCUAAGCUGUAGAUCGGGAGUUCGAAGUAAAUAUCUUAUACGAAGAUCGCCAAAUGGGGUGUUCUUUCAGAAACCCCCACGAGCGGAAAAUGAGAUGUUUUACGAAAGUCUCCCCGGGUCCG
This 171-nucleotide transfer RNA is filed under the name Candidatus Woesearchaeota archaeon. Its description in RNAcentral is "tRNA-Arg". Lineage: Archaea; Nanobdellati; Candidatus Woesearchaeota. The record is from RNAcentral.